This 698-nucleotide ribosomal RNA is filed under the name uncultured bacterium. RNAcentral describes it as "bacterial SSU rRNA". It matches the Rfam family "Bacterial small subunit ribosomal RNA", at positions 41 to 767 of the family's 1533-position model. The record is from RNAcentral.
GGCGUGCCUAACACAUGCAAGUCGAGCGAUUCUCUUCGGAGAAGAGCGGCGGACGGGUGAGUAACGCGUGGGUAACCUGCCCUGUACACACGGAUAACAUACCGAAAGGUAUGCUAAUACGAGAUAAUAUGCUUUUAUCGCAUGGUAGAAGUAUCAAAGCUCCGGCGGUACAGGAUGGACCCGCGUCUGAUUAGCUAGUUGGUAAGGUAACGGCUUACCAAGGCGACGAUCAGUAGCCGACCUGAGAGGGUGAUCGGCCACAUUGGAACUGAGACACGGUCCAAACUCCUACGGGAGGCAGCAGUGGGGAAUAUUGCACAAUGGGCGAAAGCCUGAUGCAGCAACGCCGCGUGAGUGAUGAAGGCCUUCGGGUCGUAAAGCUCUGUCCUCAAGGAAGAUAAUGACGGUACUUGAGGAGGAAGCCCCGGCUAACUACGUGCCAGCAGCCGCGGUAAUACGUAGGGGGCUAGCGUUAUCCGGAAUUACUGGGCGUAAAGGGUGCGUAGGUGGUUUCUUAAGUCAGAGGUGAAAGGCUACGGCUCAACCGUAGUAAGCCUUUGAAACUGGGAAACUUGAGUGCAGGAGAGGAGAGUGGAAUUCCUAGUGUAGCGGUGAAAUGCGUAGAUAUUAGGAGGAACACCAGUUGCGAAGGCGGCUCUCUGGACUGUAACUGACACUGAGGCACGAAAGCGUGGGGA